This 348-nucleotide ribosomal RNA is filed under the name Triticum aestivum (bread wheat). Its description in RNAcentral is "partial small subunit ribosomal RNA". Lineage: Eukaryota; Viridiplantae; Streptophyta; Magnoliopsida; Poales; Poaceae. The record is from RNAcentral.
AUGAUCCUCAAUGACGAUGGAACCUAUGACUCCAUGAGUGAAGAGGAAAUGGAGGCCCUUGAGCAAGUGGCCAUGCACCAGCGCGUGAACAAAGAUGAAGAUGCUCAAGUCUUUUCUGAUGAGGAUUCGAGCACCGCUCUCGUUGUCUCCAAAGUCUUGACUCUUCAACAUCAACAAGACGAAGACCAAAGAUGCCACAUCUUCCACACGAAGGCCGACAUCAAUGGAAGGUCCGUCAAGGUCAUCAUCGAUGGAGGGAGUUGUCACAGCUUGGCAAGUGAAGAACUAUGCUCCAAGCUCCAAUUGGUCAAGAUGAAGCACCCGCACUCGUACAGGUUCAAUGGCUAA